CAUAUGGCUUUGAAACUUUGCACACUUGUUCAACAUCAUGACCCCAACCUGUAGACAGGAGGAGGUAACUCUAUCAAGCAUUUUGACAGAAUUAUGCCCCUUUUUCGACUUAGAAUUUACGUUAAAGUUUUUGUAAUAGUUCAAAUAUUUUCAAAGUCCAUUGACAUAUGGCUUUGAAACUUUGCACACUUGUUCACCAUCAUGACCCCAACCUGUAGACAGGAGGAGGUAACUCUAUCAAGUAUUUUGAUAGAAUUAUGCCCCUUUUUCGACUUAGAAUUUACGUUAAAGUUUUUGUAAUAGUUCAAAUAUUUUCAAAGUCCAUUGACAUAUGGCUUUGAAACUUUGCACACUUGUUCACCAUCAUGACCCCAACCUGUAGACAGGAGGAGGUAACUCUAUCAAGCAUUUUGACAGAAUUAUGCCCCUUUUUCGACUUAGAAUUUCCGUUAAAGUUUUUGUAAUAGUUCAAAUAUUUUCAAAGUCCAUUAGACAUAUGGCUUUGAAACUUUGCACACUUGUUCAACAUCAUGACCCCAACCUGUAGACAGCAGGAGGUAACUCUAUUAAGCAUUUUGACAGAAUUAUGCCCCUUUUUUCGACUUAGAAUUUACGUUAAAGUUUUUGUAAUAGUUCAAAUAUUUUCAAAGUCCAUUGACAUAUGGCUUUGAAACUUUGCACACUUGUUCAACAUCAUGACCCCAACCUGUAAACAGGAGGAGGUAACUCUAUCAAGCAUUUUGACAGAAUUAUGCCCCUUUUUCGACUUAGAAUUUACGUUAAAGUUUUUGUAAUAGUUCAAAUAUUUUCAAAGUCCAUUGACAUAUGGCUUUGAAACUUUGCACACUUGUUCACCAUCAUGACCCCAACCUGUAAACAGGAGGAGGUAACUGUAUCAGGCAUUUUUUUUACUAUCAAGCACUAAGAAUAGUCGAGCAUGCUGUCCUACCGACAGCUCUUGUUAAUUUGGUUAUAAUAUAAAAUUAUGGUUAAAUUCAUUUUAAUCCAAAUAUUUUCCAUACCAUUCUGAAUUAGUUCUGGCUUCCAUAACUUUAUAGAAUAGUCCCCUAUGGUACAAGUUCUGGCUUCCAAAACUUUAUAAGCCUCUAUUACAGUGUUCAAUCUAGAACAAAUUUCCAGGGGGCCCUUCGGGCCCAUAAACUUUUCAAAAGAGGGUCAUUUGAGAAAAAAGGGGCCAACAUUUAAAAUGAACAUCAAAUUCACAUGAGGUAUUGUAUCUUUUUAAGUUACUUGUUCACGUAUCAUAUAUAAACCAAAAAAAACGGUUGUAAAAUUCAAUAACAAUCAACUCCACUAAAAAAAUUACAUUAUUUGGACCUUUUUCCAUAGUUCUGUUAGCGUUGAUGCAUUCUGAAUUAGGAUGGUCCCCUAUGGAACAAGUUCUGGCUUCUUAAAUUUUAUAAGCCUCUAUUAAACAUUUUUAUACCCCCACAAACGAAGUUAAGGAGGGGGGAAUAUAGGAGUCAGCUUGUCGGUCUGUCAGUCUGUUGGUAGGUAGGUCCACAUCAUGGUUUCCGAACGAUAACUAGAGUUUGGAAUGAGGUAUUGUAAUCAAACUUGGUAUAUACAUGUAGCAACCUUAUGUGGAAACUCCGGUUGGUAUUGCAUUUUGACCCCCUGUGGUCAAGGUCAAGGUCACCAUUACUAAGAAUAGAAAAAUGGUAUCCGGACAGUAACUUGGAUAGCCUUCGAUCUGAAGGUAACACUGUUCUAAAAAUAGAUUUUACCUUAUCACCACUACAUCACCUGUACUGACUUUCGGACAAGGGAUUAGGGAGUACACAUUAUACAUGAUGUUAAUCAGCGUACAUUUACUUUGUUUACAUGCAAUAUUUUAUAAGAUAUUUAAUACAAUUGUAGAAAGCAAACAACUUGGAAACGGAAUUUAGUGUGAAAGAAAAGGGACACUACACACUGUACUUUUUUAAGUUAAAUUUAAACAUAAUGUCACAAUCUGCUCUGACCUCUAUAUAUACAUCUUUACACCUUGUCAAUAAAAUUGUAACAGUAAUUGGCGAUGAUUUUAACAACAAAUAUUUUGUGUGAGACAUGAAAUAAAAAACAAAUGUAUUUUAUUGUCUAUACCAGUGAUUUUUCUCACUUAAUUGGGAAGAGGCCUUAGCCUAUUGAUUUUGGGAAAAAUUAUCGCUAAAAUUGCUGAUUUGGGAAGUAAAAGAGCUGGAUUAAGUUCAGAUUUUUGGGAAAACUGCAUGAUUUUAAAGAAAAUUUCAAUUGGGAAGAGGCCUUUUUUUCGGAGUCUGUUAUAUAAGUAGAAAAAUCACUGUAUACGUAAACAGUGUACGUUAAAUCACGGAUCUCAAUUGUUAAUUCAGUUUAAAUAUACAUGCAAGCAUGCAUGUACGUAUACAAUUACAUUAUUUCUGAUAAAAUAAAUACUAGAAUUGGCAUUUUUUAUUAGGUAAAAUAGGAAAAAAUGCAGAGUUUUGCUUAUUCUAAAAUAAUUAAAGAAUUAAGAUAUUAAUCAUUAAUCUAUUACUCGUAGCACGUUUGUGCAUAAAUUCAUGACAUCUCCAAUCUACGUAUUUAUAUAAACACAAUUGUGUACGGUAUAUCUGGGACAGAUAGAUACUCUUUCAUUUUUAGUCCCAAUUUCUUAAAAUCAUACCAUAUAUCACCAUUUCUAAUUUUGAUAAACAGUGAAACAAGAACAAAUUGACAAGCGCUGGCAUUUUUCUCAAAUUGACAUGCCCCGAAAGUUAUUUCUUUUUCACCAUAUCAUCUUUAUUUUCCUGAUGGUUUUAAACCAUCUCAAUCAUGCUUUACGCAAGUUUAACUCCAGGAACAUCAUUUCCAUUGAGAGAAAUGUGAAUAAAAGUAUUCGUAACCAUUAUGUUGUAUAAUCUACAUGUAGAUUAACCAGUUUCCUUGUCCAAAACUUAUCGCUAUGUGGCUAUUUUUAGAACAGGUCUCUUAUCAGUGACGUAUACGAUGCUUAUCUCAGAUCGUUCCCUAGGAAUCAAACUUUGUGUAUAGCAGCUUAUAUGAAGACCUUGGCUUGUAUUGCAUUUGGGCCCCCUGGGGUCAAGGUCACCAUUACUAAAAAUAGAAAAUGGUUUCCGAAAAUAACUAGAGUUAGGAAUGAGAUAUUGUAAUCAAACUUGGUGUAUAGUAAACUUAUAUGAAGAACCCCGGCUGGUAUUGUUUUUGGACCCCCUGGGGUCAAGAUCAAGGUCUCUGUUACUAAAAAAAGAAAAAUAGUUUCUGGACAAUAACUGGAGUUAGGAAUGAGAUAUUGUAAUCAAACUUUGUGUAUAGCAAGCUUAUUUGGAGUCCCCAGUUGCGAUUACAAACAAUAUUUCUUUGUACACAGUUGAUAGUUUGUGUUCAAAUUUUUCUUCAGACUACUUUUUUUCCAAAAAGUCAAAGUUGCUGGUGGGGGUAUUAAUCACCUUUAGUGAUAGGUCUACGGUAGUUGUUUUUCAUCAGAUGCGGCAUGAAAGUUUUGGAUAAGACCCCGUUACAAAACCUAACCAGAAUAACAUAAGUUGAUUUAUUCUUAUUUUUCACUUGCAAAUACACUUGACCCAAUCAAUUCUUGUUCAUUUUACGAUAAAACAAUUAUUUUAAUAUCGUUCUAUACCAAUUAAAGUAUCAAAAUAUUAAUACCGUCAUUGAAAUUGCCUAUUUAAUUGUAAAACAUCAAUUUACGCCGACUAUAGUCGUCCAUGACAUUUAGGUGCCACGCGAGACCUUGCAUGCGGUCAUUUGCGGGAACCGAUUUGAAUAGAGUCAUGUACUAUAUUUAGAAAUUUUUUGUUGACAUGAUUUUGAUGUUUUUAUUCAAGAUAAUGUUUUUAUUUAUUUUCAUUAAUUUUUUAGUACUUAAAUUAUGAUUUUAUUGAAUAUAAAAGUCAGUAAAUCACCUUUUUCAAUAUCUUUAAAAAAAGUAAUUUAAAAAAAUAUUGGAAGGACAUGGGUUCGUAAAGGUCAAUCUCGUAAUCAUGUGGUGAAACAUUUUGGCAAUAUGGUGGCCAAGUGCCGGAAUUUUUACCUGUCGGAAACUAUUGGGUAGUUUAUGUUAGUAAUAAAAUUUGUAUUUGACCGUCCUUGGCUUAUCGACAGAUAAUAUAUAGUUUUAUCAAGGUAUGCUUCACUUUACUUCAUGGCAUUUCGAAGGAAUACGAGCGUGUCCAGUGAUUUUUUACCCCUGAAUUGUGAAUGGUUCCUGUACCAUAAAAAUUGUGUAAAAAAAGCAUUGUUUCUCAACAAAUUGUGAAUUUUUUACUUAAGAUUGUGAAAAUCUUAUUAAGAAGUAAAAACAUAAUUUUUAUUAACUGUUCUUAAUGUCUAAAGCUUUACUGUUACGAGCCAUUUUAAAUGAUGUUUACAGAAAUUGCCAGACGCUUGUUUUGGCGGUAUGCCUAAAAUACGAAAGUGAGUUAUAAAAUAGUAAUUUUAACAUUUUAAUAGACUCUUUAAACAAACUUGCAGUUUGCAGACGUAUAUUAUUAGAAAUAGGGGUGUGGAUCGUCGGAUAAGUGUCGAUCCGAUCCGAACCACGAUUCAGCACUUACGAUUCACAAAUCGAACCACAAAUCUUUUGUUAUCAAGACACCCAUAGAAACAUGCACAUUUAAGUUACAAAAACAUGUUUAUUUAAAAAAAAAAAUACUAAACAUUAAACAUAUAAAAUAUAAACUAGGUUUAUGUUUUUAUUCUUUGGAUGAGUAUUUUUUUAAACCAAUUACUUCCUAGCUAAGCAUCAUGGUACAUAGUCUUUAACCGGCAAGUUGUAUUUAGGUAAACUUUAUAUAAUUUACACUCAAAUCGUAAUUUUCUUGAUUUUAUGAGUGUGAGAAACAGUGAAUGUAUAUAAUAAAAAAAUUAGAUCGCGGGCUUACGAAUAUUCAAACUCGAUUUUUUACUUUGAUUUGUGAUUGUCCGAGUACUCGGAUACUCGCAUCAGCCCUAAUUAGAAAAUAAUUACAGUUAUUAACAGAAAUAAUCAUAAAGAUAAAAUUUAAUCGCUACAAAUUUGCAUAAUUUCUAUACACAAGUUCUUAUAUCUUCCUAUCGCUCACAUUGAAAAAUAGCGUUUAAAUUGCAUUUACAGUACGCUCAGCGCAACUUUUUCAAAACCCGCGUGACCCCGCGGAUGAGGUUUACCGCGGACGAAAAUUUGCACCACCCCGGACAAAAAUCGGCGGCUGAAACUUUUUCCCCCGUGGAACGCAGCGGUAAAUUGCGGAGGAACGCGGCAGUCAAACACCGGUCAACGCGGUGGAAACCUUAAAUUUUAAAAAUUAAUUACUAUAUUUAAACAUCAGUAUACGUACGUACUGUAACAUGUACUGUACAUAUAACUAUAUGUAAAAUUUGUUUGUUUUCUUUUUUGUUGUAAUAAAAGUACAUGUACAAAUGCAGUGUAUUUCUUGUUCUUCUUCUUGUUAUUGUGUUGGGUAAUGUAUAAAAUGUAUUCGACAUCAAGAUAAAUCAUUGUUGUCGCAACUUCAUGGUAGUGAGAAACUUGAAGUCAAAUAAUGAAAAAUUCGGCAUAUGACAUUUAUGAAAAAAUUACUACAACAAUUUAUAUGCCAGCUUUUGUUUCUUAUUUAAAAACUUUGAAAACGUAACCCUCAACAAUUUAUUCAGGCAAUAUUCCAGGACGUCUCUUUCAAUUGUCAGAUGCGUUUUACUGUUUCUGUUUAUUUGCAUGUUGAUCAUAAAGUCUUAUAUUUUAUUUGGAACAUUAAAAGAAAGCGUUUAUUUCACCAAAAUAUACAUUAAAUGAUAUUCUUGAUUUAUCUAAUUACAGGUGUGAGCGUAAUGUAUAUGUUUCGAAGUUUGUAUCAACUGUUGAAGUUUAUUUUCAUUUUUGUUCUAGUAGUUUGUUUGUUUGUCUUUUUUAUUUUUUAUAGAUUUUUUUUUUUGCAGAAUUUUGUUAAACUUGACGUUAUACUUUUUGUUAUUUUAUUAUGAACAGCAUGUACAUACAUGUAUAUAAGGCAACCAAGCACAUGUCAGUUAUUUUCUAAGAACUUCCAUCGACCGAUUUUCAAGUUAAAAUAUUUCAUUUUAUUUUUAUCUUAAGAUAUUAUUGUUCAACUGACCAACUGACCUUGGCGUUCCCCCGCGGAAAACGGGUGACUGAUUUUAUCGACGAAUGAAGAACGGAUGUCAGAAUUUUGUCCGCGGUGGAAACAACUGAACACCGGGGAUCACGGGGGAAAUUAGGCUUUCAUCGCGGACGAACCCCCGCGUUUGUCCGCGAUAAAAAAAAAUCGUCCGCGGUGGUAUUGCAGAAAAAGCAAAACCCGCGGUGAGCGUACUGUAAGUAUGUCAAUAGAUGCCUAAACAAACUUAAUACUGUGUUAACUCCUACGAUGAUUAUCUAAUAAUUUCACAGGUUGAUAGAUCUACGGGAGUUACCUCCCUUCUGUAUUUCCUGCUACUUUCGUUUUUAACAUGCGUUGUUGACAACAGAAUUUUUAGUUUUUUUUAAUGCAAUAAAAUGGAAAUAUAUUGUAUUUUUAUGCUCAAAACAUUUUCUUUCUACAUAUCAAAUGUGCACUUCUCUUCUUUUACGCAUAAAUUUUGAUAUACGAGCAUACUUUCAUUUUGUUGUGCGUAACUGUGACGCACAAAUUUUGAAAGUGAUGCGUAUUUUAGAUUUUCUAUGCGUAUUUUACGCUUAUACGCACACUAUCUGGAGCUCUGAUAUAUUAUUUAUUAUUUAAGAAAUAAUAUAUCCCAAACAGUGAUUUUAUCGCUCAAUAACAUCACUGUUUGGAGUUCGGAUGCGAGGAAUUAUAUCACGUGGGUGUAGUCUGAGUGAUAUAAUGAUGCACAUUCGAACGACAAAUAGUGAUGUUAUCAAGCGAUAAAAUCACUGAUUAAAAUUUUGGAUAUAUUAUUUCGAUUCUAACACGACAUCAACAAAUAAAUGUUGCCGUACUUGAUAGUUAAGCAAAUUUGUGCCUGAUUUGUUUCCGUACUUAUUUUCAGCGUGUCAGAUUUUUAGUGGUUACGUCACGUGUAUAAUGAUUACGUCACAUGUCUAAAUAUAGAACGUCAAACUGUGCAUCUGUUGCAUAAUAACACACACUUUCUGUUCUUCUAUGUUCAAUAGGGUAAAUGCGGGUCAUGUUAGAAUAUAUUAUAACCCAUAAUGCAUGUUAUUUAUUAUAUAUAUUUAUCAAAUUGAAAAAAAGGUGGUUAGAAAAUUGAGGUUGAAACUUUCAGGGCCGAAACGUCCAGGAGGUGUAAAGUCCUGAAACAUAUAGAUUAUACCUUGUCUUGAAAAUAUGUUGGGCUGCCGGUCUGCAAUGUAUGUUUUCCUUUAUUUAAAAAGGUCAUGUAUUAAUUUUGUUCGCCUGUAUGUAAAUGAUUUGAUAAUUUGACUGCUGAUUUGCUAAAGUUACUACCAUUCGUUUUAUUUUGUUCAUGCCAGAAGCGGUGUCGAAGUAAAUAUUAUCUAUCUAAGAGAUUCCUGGUAUAAAGCAAAGUAUUUUUUCAGAAAUGUGCAUAAAGACGACCCUGUUAAAUCAUUUUUAAUGCAUGUAUGAGCUCUUGAUGGCUUAUAAUUUCAAUAAUCAUUUGUUUCGGCUGCCCGACAAAAAAUAAUAUUGUGCCAGGUUGAGUGCAUUCGCGGAUUGAUAUCAUUACAGCUCUAACCUGGGACAUAAGAUAAGUUAGUUAACAUAAACCUGUUUAAAUUACAUGAAUGGCUAGCUAUCAUUUAAUCAAAUCACUAAACGAUCUAGCUAAGUUGUUAAAAAUUUAUAUGAUAAGGAUAUUUUAUUAACAUUUAGAAACGUUUUCUAUUUUGCGUGCGUUUUAGCGUGCGUAUAUCGUUUAGCGUAUUUCGUUUUGCGUGCGUCUGCAUAUUUCGUUUCACAAAGCGUGCGUGUAACGUGCGUUCGUAUAGCAUGUAACAUGCGUGCGUUUUUCACGAACGCAGGGUUAGAAUUUAGCGAUAUUUUCUACUUGCAGAUUUUUGCAAGUGAUCAAAUGCUUAACUGGCAAUAUGAGGUAGUCAACUGGCAUUUCCAUGAUCACGAAUCUUAUCAUUACUAUAAUACACAAUGACAAUGUAUUUUGGACAUCUGAUAUGACAAAUGAUAAUAAGCUUGAAUCAUGUCAGAAGCAUCUUUAUCACAAGUAAACACAGAUCUAUUUCUUCUUGUAAUGAAACAAAAACAUUUCAACACAUUAAUUUAUAAAUGAUAAACUGUUUAGGGAUCAGAUUAGAUAUACCAGAGGAACACCCACUGAUGACAAUGUACAGUUAUAAACUUGUUCAUGUAAUGUUAUUUCUUAGGACCUUUAUUAAUUUUAGCGUAUUUUGUGCUUGACUGAAACCUAGAGGUACUGAUCUACUUAAACAAAUAUUUCAGCUUAAAAGUAAUCACUUUACAGAGUAGUGCUACGCAUUUACAUUGGAUAAAACAACAUGGAGUUCUAACAAAUAGUGUUUGGUUGUUAUAAAUAGUCCAUCAAAACAUAGUCACAGAAAAAAAAUAGAGCAACUAAAAACUGAUAGCAACUAAAAAUAGAUUUUUAAGUUUCUAAGGUAAACGUCAUCAUUUACUGCAUCUGGCACAUUAAACAUCAUCAGUUUCUUCAGCGGGCAGUAAAAAUGCCAAGCAUCAUCAUCAGCUCAGAAGAUAACAAUUUUGUAUAAUGUAUAUGUCCAAAAUGAACAGUCACUUGCAAAUAAAUGCCAGCUAGAGUAAUUUUUACUGGCAUUAUUAGAUUUUAACUGGCAUUUUGCCAGUAUGCCAGCUUAAAUUCGAACCCUGGAACGUGCGUUUUGCGUGUAAACUGGAACAUUCACCCUACUGUAUCACAUACACAAAAUAAAGACCGUUUAAAGAGAAAUAAGAGUAGUUUUUCAUUUACGCGCCUAUAGACGUAUAACGCUAACAUUUAACGCAUCUUUACACAAUGUUUGUAUAACGCAAAUGAUGUCACUUCAAAUUAUAUGCACGGAUGUGUAAUACCAUAUUUACUGAGUGGCAAAAUCGGCACCGGUGUGUGAUAAAGCAUAUUAAUACAUAUUAAGCGCAUGUCAAUAAAUUUCAAUUUUAAGUGAUAUGAAAAAUAUUUUCUGUUGUGCUGUCUUUGUAAAUCCAAUAACUUAACAUCACAACCAGUUUCCUUAUUUUCCUCAUUUUUUUCCUCUCGAUUACAGUUUCAGACUUAAAAUAAAAUUGCAUUCUUAAUAUUUAUAUAUACUCAUAUAUUGUAAUGCCCUAGAAAUUUUACCUUUUUUAGUGAAUUUCACCGGAUUUCAGUAUUGUUUAUUUCUACUUUCACUUUCGUUUUGAGAAGCUUUUACUGGCGACAACACAGUAAAUAUUGCGGUGUCCCAAUGAAACAUACAGGACAUCAACUUAAAUCUACGUAUUGUGCCAGCAAUUUAAUCAUUCUUGAUUCUGGAAGCUUUUCCUUUAAAUGUUAUCCGUGGUAGAAUCCUGUGUUUUUAAUCUGUUUUCGUUUAGCGUAUAUCGUUUUGCGUGCGUCUGCGUAUUUCGUUUCGUUUUGCGUGCGUAUAACGUGCGUUCGUAUAGCGUGUAUCGUGCGUUCGUAUAGCGUGUAACGUGCGUUUUGCGUGUAAACUGACACGUUCACCCUACUGUAAAUAUAAACAAGCAAUAAAACAACUUGUCUUAAGCUGCGGAUUUUAUUGUAAAACUAAAAACAGCAAACUUCACAUUGAAUAUCUGUAAAUUUAUGGAUUGAAAAAUCUUUAAAUUUCGAGACUGUCUAUAAAUUUACGGACAGUCCAUAAAUAUUAUGAAAUCCUAGACCUGAUAAGAUCUAGUUCAUGUGUAGUUUCUAAAGUGAUAGCCGACCAUCGUAAAAACUGAUAGCCGACCAUCGUAAUUAAAUAUAUUGCUAAUUUUAUUGUUUUGGCCUUUGAAUUAAUUGAUUUAGUAAAGUUACUGAUUUUAUGAAUAAAUACACAGUACAAGUGAAAGAUGAUCAGAUCCAUUAUAAUUUUUAAUAAUGUGAAUAAAAUCAAAAUAGAAUCAAAGUCAAACUGUGAAACAAAACAUAGAAUUAGAAUCUGUUAGUAAUUUUGAUAACAUGUAUGAUUUUAAUAUAUAAUUUUUACAGUGCUUAAAUCAUGAAGGAAGCUAAAAAAACAACAAAACCUGUCUUUCAUGUAAGCAGAUUUGUUGACCAUUGUGACAGGGACCUGUACAGAACAGUCACAAAGGUACACCCUGUGAAAAUCAAACCUGCUCCAGUGAACACAAAACCAGUCAGUCAUACGGCAGCAGUAACUUGUGCAAAGAAAGUGGAGAAAGCCCCAAUUUCAGAGAAAGCAGCUUCAACAAGAACAUUGUGUAGUGCCAGACAGCCUGUAGCAGCACCUGAGCCAACAUCACAAACCACAAGACAGUCAGUCAAAAAUAAAGGGAUCAGUCAUUAUUCAUGGUCUAGAAGAGAGAGUGAUAAAGAGCAAGGAUGAAGUUUACGAGAGUUGGAGCGUGGAGCAUCAAAAAGACAGACUGCUGCAACACUAAUGAACGCUUCCUCAUGGUAUGAAGUAAUUUCAUAACUAUUGUGUAGCUUGUAACUUAGUACCAGGCUUAAACGUAGGUCAUUGAAAGUGACUUUCACUAUAUGUACAUAUAGUAAAAACUUAAAAUACCUUCUUGUAAAGACCCAAAAAACCUAGAGCUUAGAUAUUUUGCAUAAGGCAUUGUCUGGUAAACCUCUACCAAGAUUGUUCAAAUUAU
Long non-coding RNA from Ruditapes philippinarum (Manila clam), 10733 nucleotides. RefSeq lists it as uncharacterized. Lineage: Eukaryota; Metazoa; Mollusca; Bivalvia; Venerida; Veneridae. The transcript has 4 exons. The record is from RefSeq and is a predicted model, not a curated record.